UCAUGUCUCGUUAGCGAUACGUAUUCGGCCUUUUUUCGGCAGCUAUUCAAACGAGAUACGCGAGGCGUCCAUUAUUCUCUUUGGCGAUCUAUGUGAGUCGAAAAAGGCACACGAUGCCAAUGGCAGCAUUUCGCCGAAUGCUUCCUCUACAGAGGCGCUGCGGGAGCAAUUAAUUGCAAACCUAUUUCCAAUUUUGUUACAUUUGAGUGAGGGUGAUGCGACAAUAAUUAGAGCAUGCAAAGGUACUUUACGAAAGGUUUGUGGCUUGUUGAAUG
Molecule: long non-coding RNA, 275 nt
Organism: Rhagoletis zephyria (snowberry fruit fly)
Lineage: Eukaryota; Metazoa; Arthropoda; Insecta; Diptera; Tephritidae
Source: RefSeq, a predicted model, not a curated record